This 1126-nucleotide long non-coding RNA is filed under the name Ananas comosus (pineapple). Its description in RNAcentral is "long non-coding RNA (ACOM_LNC024356)". Lineage: Eukaryota; Viridiplantae; Streptophyta; Magnoliopsida; Poales; Bromeliaceae. The record is from RNAcentral.
UCCAUUAAUACAUAUUUAUAUAGAGAGAGAGUAGAGCUAUUAUACUUUGAGAAGUAUAAGAGAAUUGGUGCUUCCAACUUUUUGGCACUUGGAUCAACUCGUUUGACCAUUCUUAUAUUUAGAUUAAUACUAUAACUUUAGGAGGAUCACUCAAUCCUAAGCAUAGUUAGUUAAUUCGGAUUCGGCAAAAAUUCGGUACGGAUAUAAUACGUAUAAAAUUCGUUUUCUAAUUUUUAAAUUCGUUGAAAAAUUCGGAUUAAAAAAAGAUUCGGUAUAAAGUAUAAAAUAUAAGAUAUAAAAUAUUAAAUAAUUUAUAUUUAAAAAUAAAAAUUAUAAGUUUUUAUUCAUAUUUUCAAUAAUUCAGAAAUAAUUCGCGAAUAAUUCGGCUGCCCCAAAAAUUUGCGAAUAAUUCUCUUUUUUGGGAAAAAUUCGUAAACGGACCGUUUAAUUCGGAUUUUCAAUAAUUCGCGAAUUAACUAACUAGGAUCCAAAGGUGACCACUCAAUUCUAAAGAGACUACUAUCAUCUCGACCCUAUAAUUUUUUAUCCAAGCGUCAAAAAGUCGGAAGUACAAACUCUUUUAGAUUUUCGAAAGUAAAGAAUAUAUAUAUAUAUAUAUAUAUGCUACUAUACUAUCGAUAAUACCAAGUGUUUGGUGCUAUCGAGUUUUCGAUCGUUGGAUGAAAGGAUAUACUGUUAGAAUGAUAGUGGUCUCCGGUCAGGAUGACAAUAGUCCCCUAGGGUUGAGUGGGUGAUUGGUUGAAUAGUAUAAUCUAAUGGAUAAAAAUAAUCAAAUGGUUGAUCUAACGGCAGAAAACUCGAUAGUACAGAGCUUGGUACUAUCAAUAGUAUAGUAGCCAGACUCUCUCUCUCUCUCUCUCUCUCUCUCUCUCUCUCUCUCUCUCACACAAAUAUAUAUAUAGUUGAGCUAGAAUACUUCCAAAAGAACUAAAGAGGUGGUGUUUUUGAGUUUUUAGUCUUUGGAUGAAGAGAUGUAGGGUUGGGAUGAUGAUGGUAGGUGGUGGUAGGUGGAAUAGUGUUUGAUCCAAUGGUUAUUAAUAAUCGAGGAGUAGAUACAAGGGCUAAAAACUUGGAAACACCAAGUAUUCUAGCUCAAAUAUAUAUA